RNAcentral lists this ribosomal RNA (1343 nucleotides) under metagenome. RNAcentral describes it as "bacterial SSU rRNA". It matches the Rfam family "Bacterial small subunit ribosomal RNA", at positions 8 to 1382 of the family's 1533-position model. The record is from RNAcentral.
AGAGUUUGAUCCUGGCUCAGAGCGAACGCUAGCGGCGGGCUUAACACAUGCAAGUCGAGCGGAGGGGCAACCCUUAGCGGCGAACGGGUGAGUAACGCGUAGGUAACGUGCCUUCAGGUGGGGAACAACCGUGGGAAACCAUGGCUAAUACCGCAUAAUGUCGAAAGAUGAAAGCCUUCGGGCGCCUGGAGAGCGGCCUGCGUCCCAUUACCUAGUUGGUAGGGUAACGGCCUACCAAGGGAACGAUGGGUAGCUGGUCUAAGAGAUGAUCAGCCACACUGGAACUGAGACACGGUCCAGACUCCUACGGGAGGCAGCAGUGGGGAAUAUUGCGCAAUGGGGGAAACCCUGACGCAGCCACGCCGCGUGAGUGAAGAAGGCCUUCGGGUCGUAAAGCUCUGUCGGGAGAGACGAAGGGGUAAAACUCUGACGGUAUCUCGCAAGAAAGCACCGGCUAACUCUGUGCCAGCAGCCGCGGUAAUACAGAGGGUGCAAGCGUUGCUCGGAUUUACUGGGCGUAAAGCGUACGCAGACGGACCGUCAAGUCGGGAGUGAAAGCCCUGGGCUCAACCCAGGAACGGCUUUCGAUACUAGCGGUCUUGAGUUUGGGAGAGGGAAGCGGAAUUCCUGGUGUAGAGGUGAAAUCCGUAGAUAUCAGGAGGAACACCGGCGGCGAAGGCGGCUUCCUGGCCCAAUACUGACGUUCAGGUACGAAAGCGUGGGUAGCAAACAGGAUUAGAUACCCUGGUAGUCCACGCUGUAAACGAUGAGUGCUGGAUGUCGGAGGUAUUCACCCCUUCGGUAUCGAAGCUAACGCGUUAAGCACUCCGCCUGGGGAGUACGGCCGCAAGGUUGAAACUCAAAGGAAUUGACGGGGGCCCGCACAAGCGGUGGAGUAUGUGGUUUAAUUCGACGACGCGCAGAACCUUACCCAGCCUUGACAUCCUUGGAACCGAGUGGAAACACUUGUGUGCUCUCGCAAGAGAGAGCCAGGAGACAGGUGCUGCAUGGCUGUCGUCAGCUCGUGUCGUGAGAUGUUCGGUUAAGUCCGGCAACGAGCGCAACCCCUGUCUUCAGUUGCCAUCAUUUAGUUGGGCACUCUGGAGAGACUGCCGGCGUCAAGCCGGAGGAAGGUGGGGAUGACGUCAAGUCCUCAUGGCCUUUAUGGUUAGGGCUACACACGUACUACAAUGAUGACUACAAAGGGCAGCCAACCCGCGAGGGGGAGCAAAUCCCAAAAAAGUCAUCUCAGUUCGGAUUGCAGUCUGCAACUCGACUGCAUGAAGUCGGAAUCGCUAGUAAUCGCGGAUCAGCAUGCCGCGGUGAAUACGUUCCCGGGCCUC